Molecule: ribosomal RNA, 253 nt
Filed under: uncultured bacterium
Lineage: Bacteria
Description: partial 16S ribosomal RNA
Rfam family: Bacterial small subunit ribosomal RNA
Source: RNAcentral
UACGUAAGGGGCAAGCGUUGUCCGGAAUUACUGGGCGUAAAGCGCGUGUAGGCGGUUGUCCAAGUUGGAUGUGAAAGCCUUGAGCUCAACUCAAGAAAUGCAUUCAGGACUGGAUGACUAGAGGACCGGAGAGGAUAGUGGAAUUCCCAGUGUAGUGGUGAAAUACGUAGAGAUUGGGAAGAACACCAGUGGCGAAGGCGGCUAUCUGGACGGUUUCUGACGCUAAGACGCGAAAGCGUGGGGAGCAAACAGG